AGUAACGCGUGGGUAACCUGCCUCAUACAGGGGGAGUAACAGUUAGAAAUGACUGCUAAUACCGCAUAAGCGCACAGUGCUGCAUGGCACAGUGUGAAAAACUCCGGUGGUAUGAGAUGGACCCGCGUCUGAUUAGCUAGUUGGUGGGGUAACGGGCCUACCAAGGCGACGAUCAGUAGCCGGCCUGAGAGGGUGAACGGCCACAUUGGGACUGAGACACGGCCCAAACUCCUACGGGAGGCAGCAUG
This 248-nucleotide ribosomal RNA is filed under the name uncultured bacterium. RNAcentral describes it as "partial 16S ribosomal RNA". It matches the Rfam family "Bacterial small subunit ribosomal RNA", at positions 109 to 353 of the family's 1533-position model. The record is from RNAcentral.